Molecule: ribosomal RNA, 465 nt
Filed under: uncultured bacterium
Lineage: Bacteria
Description: partial 16S ribosomal RNA
Rfam family: Bacterial small subunit ribosomal RNA
Source: RNAcentral
CCUACGGGAGACAGCAGUGGGGAAUAUUGCGCAAUGGGCGAAAGCCUGACGCAGCGACGCCGCGUGAGGGAUGAAGGUCUUCGGAUCGUAAACCUCUGUCAGCAGGGAAGAACGGUCACUGUGCUAAUCAGCAGUGAAUUGACGGUACCUGCAAAGGAAGCACCGGCUAACUCCGUGCCAGCAGCCGCGGUAAUACGGAGGGUGCGAGCGUUAAUCGGAAUUACUGGGCGUAAAGCGCUCGUAGGCGGUAUGUCAAGUCAAGGGUGAAAUCCCCGCGCUCAACGUGGGAACUGCCUUUGAAACUGGCAGACUGGAGUGUGUGAGAGGAUAGUGGAAUUCCAGGUGUAGGGGUGAAAUCCGUAGAUAUCUGGAGGAACAUCAGUGGCGAAGGCGACUAUCUGGCACAUAACUGACGCUGAGGAGCGAAAGCGUGGGUAGCAAACAGGAUUAGAUACCCUAGUAGUC